CUGAAGCAGUCACUUAUCAGUGUCAUCUCACUGAAGUAUGCCAUUAAUUUCUUUAUUAAAAAUGCCAAUUGAUUGUAAUUUUCUCAUUGUGUCUGAACAACUGCAAAGCAUUUAUUAAUUCUUGGACUGACAUACACAGGCAGUUAGCAGGCAUGCAUACUCACCACAUUAAUCUUCCAGAUUGUGGCAGAGAGAGAGAGAAAUCUUUGUGCAGGGAUUGAUCUGAAGUAUCUGUUUAUUUUAGAUGGCACAUCAUGGAUUAUCUCUUUUUCCUUUCACAAGCUUCAUUCAUGGGAACACAAGUUAGGAGCCUGGUGGUGCUGCAGGGCUGGGUCACGGCAGCCUUUGCCUCCUGUUCAUAGUGGUGAUGUCGGAGAGAGACCCAGGGCUGAGAGGAGGCUACAUGGACCAGCUCUGAGGGGAGCAGUUCCAUCACUGAGACCCCAGGGAUGUUGCAGGUGGAGGGGACAGAGUGCAGAGCACCAGUCUGAUGUACGAUGUACAUGCUCGUGUGCAGCCUCAAGAAGCCCAAGCUCAGCUGAGCAAAUGACUUCACAGCACAGCUGUCAGCCAGGAACUAAAGAUUCAUGUUUGGGCCAGAAAAAAAAAAAAAAAAGUGUGAAUCAGAACUAUCUACAGUAAACAGAAAGCGGAACUGGAGCUUGCUGAUACUAUGGUCUGCCAGGAACAGGAGCUGUUAUUGCAAGUCUGAAGGAUUUUAUACCUCUCUGAUAGCUUGUAUACCAUCUGAAUCUUAUUAAACUGCUUGUGCCCGACCUGGAGCCUGGAGCCUUGCUGAGGAGCCUUAAUGCUAAUAACAAAAUAGACCUUAAUGAACCACAGCUUCAGAGAGAAAUAAUAACAAAUUUGAACGACUUCUUGGAAAGGAUUUUACUAUCAGCAGUGAUUAACAAAAUAAAUAAUGUGCCAGGAAACCA
Molecule: long non-coding RNA, 938 nt
Filed under: Cyanistes caeruleus (blue tit)
Lineage: Eukaryota; Metazoa; Chordata; Aves; Passeriformes; Paridae
Description: lncRNA (ENSCCEG00000016677.1)
Source: RNAcentral